GACGAACGCUGGCGGCGCUUCUAACACAUGCAAGUCGAACGGAGCUUGCUUGUCUGAUUCUUUCGGGAUGACGAUUUGUAAGCUUAGUGGCGAACGGGUGAGUAACACGUGAGUAACCUGCCCCAGAGUGGGGGACAACAGUUGGAAACGACUGCUAAUACCGCAUAAGCCCACGGAACCGCAUGGUUCUGGGGGAAAAGGAGCAAUUCGCUCUGGGAUGGACCCGCGUCUGAUUAGCUGGUUGGUGAGGUAACGGCCCACCAAGGCAACGAUCAGUAGCCGGCCUGAGAGGGUGAACGGCCACAUUGGGACUGAGACACGGCCCAAACUCCUACGGGAGGCAGCAGUGGGGAAUAUUGCACAAUGGGGGAAACCCUGAUGCAGCGACGCCGCGUGAGUGAAGAAGUAUUUCGGUAUGUAAAGCUCUAUCAGCAGGGAAGAAAAUGACGGUACCUGACUAAGAAGCCCCGGCUAACUACGUGCCAGCAGCCGCGGUAAUACGUAGGGGGCAAGCGUUAUCCGGAUUUACUGGGUGUAAAGGGAGCGUAGACGGUCAAGCAAGUCAGAAGUGAAAGGCUGGGGCUCAACCCCGGGACUGCUUUUGAAACUGUUUGACUGGAGUGCUGGAGAGGUAAGCGGAAUUCCUAGUGUAGCGGUGAAAUGCGUAGAUAUUAGGAGGAACACCAGUGGCGAAGGCGGCUUACUGGACAGUAACUGACGUUGAGGCUCGAAAGCGUGGGGAGCAAACAGG
Molecule: ribosomal RNA, 751 nt
Filed under: uncultured bacterium
Lineage: Bacteria
Description: bacterial SSU rRNA
Rfam family: Bacterial small subunit ribosomal RNA
Source: RNAcentral